Molecule: ribosomal RNA, 401 nt
Filed under: uncultured bacterium
Lineage: Bacteria
Description: bacterial SSU rRNA
Rfam family: Bacterial small subunit ribosomal RNA
Source: RNAcentral
GUGGGGAAUAUUGGACAAUGGGCGAAAGCCUGAUCCAGCAAUGCCGCGUGAGUGAUGAAGGCCUUAGGGUUGUAAAGCUCUUUUACCCGGGAUGAUAAUGACAGUACCGGGAGAAUAAGCUCCGGCUAACUCCGUGCCAGCAGCCGCGGUAAUACGGAGGGAGCUAGCGUUGUUCGGAAUUACUGGGCGUAAAGCGCGCGUAGGCGGUUUUUUAAGUCAGAGGUGAAAGCCCAGUGCUCAACACUGGAACUGCCUUUGAAACUGGAAAACUUGAAUCUUGGAGAGGUCAGUGGAAUUCCGAGUGUAGAGGUGAAAUUCGUAGAUAUUCGGAAGAACACCAGUGGCGAAGGCGACUGACUGGACAAGUAUUGACGCUGAGGUGCGAAAGCGUGGGGAGCAAA